Molecule: small RNA, 110 nt
Filed under: Mesorhizobium hungaricum
Lineage: Bacteria; Pseudomonadati; Pseudomonadota; Alphaproteobacteria; Hyphomicrobiales; Phyllobacteriaceae
Description: Mesorhizobium sp. UASWS1009 Rhizobiales sRNA Atu_At1
Rfam family: Rhizobiales sRNA Atu_At1
Source: Rfam by way of RNAcentral
CCGCGGGCCGUGUCAACCGGGCGUGACGGUACGGUGAACAGGAAGUCUUUUUCCCGGUUUCUCUUCCUGGCCAACGAAACGGCAGACGAGCGCCUUGUUCCGUCCGGCCC